GACGAACGCUGGCGGCGUGCUUAACACAUGCAAGUCGAACGGAAAGGCCCUGCUUUUGUGGGGUGCUCGAGUGGCGAACGGGUGAGUAACACGUGAGUAACCUGCCCUUGACUUUGGGAUAACUUCAGGAAACUGGGGCUAAUACCGGAUAGGAUCUCCUGCUGCAUGUUGGGGGUUGGAAAGUUUCGGCGGUUGGGGAUGGACUCGCGGCUUAUCAGCUUGUUGGUGAGGUAGUUGCUUACCAAGGCUUUGACGGGUAGCCGGCCUGAGAGGGUGACCGGGCACAUUGGGACUACGAUACGGACCAGAAUCGUACGGGCGGCAGCAGUGGAGAAUAUUGCACAAUGGGCGGAAGCCUGAUGCAGAAACGCCGCGUGCGGGAUGCCGGCCUUCGGGUUGUAAACCGCUUUCGCAUGUGACGAAGCGUGAGUGACGGUAAUGGGUAAAGAAGCAACGGCUAACUACGUG
This 468-nucleotide ribosomal RNA is filed under the name uncultured bacterium. RNAcentral's name for it is "partial 16S ribosomal RNA". It matches the Rfam family "Bacterial small subunit ribosomal RNA", at positions 28 to 507 of the family's 1533-position model. The record is from RNAcentral.